This 484-nucleotide ribosomal RNA is filed under the name uncultured bacterium. Its description in RNAcentral is "partial 16S ribosomal RNA". It matches the Rfam family "Bacterial small subunit ribosomal RNA", at positions 29 to 507 of the family's 1533-position model. The record is from RNAcentral.
AUUGAACGCUGGCGGCAGGCCUAACACAUGCAAGUCGAGCGGAUGAAGGGAGCUUGCUCCUGGAUUCAGCGGCGGACGGGUGAGUAAUGCCUAGGAAUCUGCCUGGUCGUGGGGGAUAACGUCCGGAAACGGGCGCUAAUACCGCAUACGUCCUGCGGGAGAAAGUGGGGGAUCUUCGGACCUCACGCUCUCAGAUGAGCCUAGGUCGGAUUAGCUAGUUGGUGGGGUAAAGGCCUACCAAGGCGACGAUCCGUAACUGGUCUGAGAGGAUGAUCAGUCACACUGGAACGGAGACAGGGUCAAGAGUCCUACGGGAGGGAGCAGUGGCGAAUAGUGGACAGUGGGGGAAAGCCUGAUCCAGCCAUGCCGCGUGUGUGAAGAAGGUGUUCGGAGUGGAAAGCACGUUAAGUGGGGAGGAAGGGCAGUAAGUUAAGACCAAGCUGUUUUGACGUUACCAGCAGAAUAAGCACCGGCUAACUACGUG